Molecule: ribosomal RNA, 226 nt
Filed under: uncultured Acinetobacter sp.
Lineage: Bacteria; Pseudomonadati; Pseudomonadota; Gammaproteobacteria; Moraxellales; Moraxellaceae
Description: partial 16S ribosomal RNA
Rfam family: Bacterial small subunit ribosomal RNA
Source: RNAcentral
GAGGUGCUUGCACCUUAUCUUAGCGGCGGACGGGUGAGUAAUGCUUAGGAAUCUGCCUAUUAGUGGGGGACAACAUUCCGAAAGGGCUAAUACCGCAUACGUCCUACGGGAGAAAGCAGGGGAUCUUCGGACCUUGCGCUAAUAGAUGAGCCUAAGUCGGAUUAGCUAGUUGGUGGGGUAAAGGCCUACCAGGCGACGAUCUGUAGCGGGUCUGAGAGAUGAUCCG